AACGAACGCUGGCGGCAGGCCUAACACAUGCAAGUCGAACGAACCCUGCGGGGUUGGUGGCGCACGGGUGCGCAACCCGGGGGAAUCUGCCCUUGGCUUCGGAAGGACGCAGGGAAACUUGUGCUAAUACCGGCGCUUGUCUUCCGACCAAAGAUUGAACGACAUGGGAUGAGCCCGAGUAGUAUUAGUUAGUUGGUAGUGUAAAUGGCUACCAAGGCUACGAGACUUAGCUGGUCUGAGAGGAUGAUUAGCCACACUGGGACUGAGGCACGGCCGAGACUACUACGGGAGGCAGCAGUGGGGAAUAUUGGACAAUGGGCGGAAGCAUGAUCCAGCACUGACGCGUGAGUGCUGAAGGUCGUGGGGUAGUAAAGCUCUUUUACCCGGGACGAUAAUGACAGUACCUGGAGAAUAAGCUCCGGCUAACUCCGUG
This 433-nucleotide ribosomal RNA is filed under the name uncultured bacterium. RNAcentral describes it as "partial 16S ribosomal RNA". It matches the Rfam family "Bacterial small subunit ribosomal RNA", at positions 29 to 507 of the family's 1533-position model. The record is from RNAcentral.